GAUUAAGUUAUUAAGGGCGCACGGUGGAUGCCUUGGCACUAGAAGCCGAUGAAGGACGUUACUAACGACGAUAUGCUUUGGGGAGCUGUAAGUAAGCUUUGAUCCAGAGAUUUCCGAAUGGGGAAACCCAGCAUGAGUUAUGUCAUGUUAUCGAUAUGUGAAUACAUAGCAUAUCAGAAGGCACACCCGGAGAACUGAAACAUCUUAGUAACCGGAGGAAGAGAAAGAAAAUUCGAUUCCCUUAGUAGCGGCGAGCGAAACGGGAAGAGCCCAAACCAACAAGCUUGCUUGUUGGGGUUGUAGGACACUCUAUACGGAGUUACAAAGGACGACAUUAGACGAAUCAUCUGGAAAGAUGAAUCAAAGAAGGUAAUAAUCCUGUAGUCGAAAAUGUUGUCUCUCUUGAGUGGAUCCUGAGUACGACGGAGCACGUGAAAUUCCGUCGGAAUCUGGGAGGACCAUCUCCUAAGGCUAAAUACUCUCUAGUGACCGAUAGUGAACCAGUACCGUGAGGGAAAGGUGAAAAGCACCCCGGAAGGGGAGUGAAAUAGAACCUGAAACCGUGUGCUUACAAGUAGUCAGAGCCCGUUAAUGGGUGAUGGCGUGCCUUUUGUAGAAUGAACCGGCGAGUUACGAUUUGAUGCAAGGUUAAGCAGUAAAUGUGGAGCCGUAGCGAAAGCGAGUCUGAAUAGGGCGUUUAGUAUUUGGUCGUAGACCCGAAACCAGGUGAUCUACCCUUGGUCAGGUUGAAGUUCAGGUAACACUGAAUGGAGGACCGAACCGACUUACGUUGAAAAGUGAGCGGAUGAACUGAGGGUAGCGGAGAAAUUCCAAUCGAACCUGGAGAUAGCUGGUUCUCUCCGAAAUAGCUUUAGGGCUAGCCUCAAGUGAUGAUUAUUGGAGGUAGAGCACUGUUUGGACGAGGGGCCCCUCUCGGGUUACCGAAUUCAGACAAACUCCGAAUGCCAAUUAAUUUAACUUGGGAGUCAGAACAUGGGUGAUAAGGUCCGUGUUCGAAAGGGAAACAGCCCAGACCACCAGCUAAGGUCCCAAAAUAUAUGUUAAGUGGAAAAGGAUGUGGCGUUGCCCAGACAACUAGGAUGUUGGCUUAGAAGCAGCCAUCAUUUAAAGAGUGCGUAAUAGCUCACUAGUCGAGUGACACUGCGCCGAAAAUGUACCGGGGCUAAACAUAUUACCGAAGCUGUGGAUUGUCCUUUGGACAAUGGUAGGAGAGCGUUCUAAGGGCGUUGAAGCAUGAUCGUAAGGACAUGUGGAGCGCUUAGAAGUGAGAAUGCCGGUGUGAGUAGCGAAAGACGGGUGAGAAUCCCGUCCACCGAUUGACUAAGGUUUCCAGAGGAAGGCUCGUCCGCUCUGGGUUAGUCGGGUCCUAAGCUGAGGCCGACAGGCGUAGGCGAUGGAUAACAGGUUGAUAUUCCUGUACCACCUAUAAUCGUUUUAAUCGAUGGGGGGACGCAGUAGGAUAGGCGAAGCGUGCGAUUGGAUUGCACGUCUAAGCAGUAAGGCUGAGUAUUAGGCAAAUCCGGUACUCGUUAAGGCUGAGCUGUGAUGGGGAGAAGACAUUGUGUCUUCGAGUCGUUGAUUUCACACUGCCGAGAAAAGCCUCUAGAUAGAAAAUAGGUGCCCGUACCGCAAACCGACACAGGUAGUCAAGAUGAGAAUUCUAAGGUGAGCGAGCGAACUCUCGUUAAGGAACUCGGCAAAAUGACCCCGUAACUUCGGGAGAAGGGGUGCUCUUUAGGGUUAACGCCCAGAAGAGCCGCAGUGAAUAGGCCCAAGCGACUGUUUAUCAAAAACACAGGUCUCUGCUAAACCGUAAGGUGAUGUAUAGGGGCUGACGCCUGCCCGGUGCUGGAAGGUUAAGAGGAGUGGUUAGCUUCUGCGAAGCUACGAAUCGAAGCCCCAGUAAACGGCGGCCGUAACUAUAACGGUCCUAAGGUAGCGAAAUUCCUUGUCGGGUAAGUUCCGACCCGCACGAAAGGCGUAACGAUUUGGGCACUGUCUCAACGAGAGACUCGGUGAAAUCAUAGUACCUGUGAAGAUGCAGGUUACCCGCGACAGGACGGAAAGACCCCGUGGAGCUUUACUGUAGCCUGAUAUUGAAAUUCGGCACAGCUUGUACAGGAUAGGUAGGAGCCUUUGAAACGUGAGCGCUAGCUUACGUGGAGGCGCUGGUGGGAUACUACCCUAGCUGUGUUGGCUUUCUAACCCGCACCACUUAUCGUGGUGGGAGACAGUGUCAGGCGGGCAGUUUGACUGGGGCGGUCGCCUCCUAAAAGGUAACGGAGGCGCUCAAAGGUUCCCUCAGAAUGGUUGGAAAUCAUUCAUAGAGUGUAAAGGCAUAAGGGAGCUUGACUGCGAGACCUACAAGUCGAGCAGGGUCGAAAGACGGACUUAGUGAUCCGGUGGUUCCGCAUGGAAGGGCCAUCGCUCAACGGAUAAAAGCUACCCCGGGGAUAACAGGCUUAUCUCCCCCAAGAGUUCACAUCGACGGGGAGGUUUGGCACCUCGAUGUCGGCUCAUCGCAUCCUGGGGCUGUAGUCGGUCCCAAGGGUUGGGCUGUUCGCCCAUUAAAGCGGUACGCGAGCUGGGUUCAGAACGUCGUGAGACAGUUCGGUCCCUAUCCGUCGUGGGCGUAGGAAAUUUGAGAGGAGCUGUCCUUAGUACGAGAGGACCGGGAUGGACAUACCUCUGGUGUACCAGUUGUCGUGCCAACGGCAUAGCUGGGUAGCUAUGUGUGGACGGGAUAAGUGC
This 2772-nucleotide ribosomal RNA is filed under the name Staphylococcus aureus. Its description in RNAcentral is "partial 23S ribosomal RNA". It matches the Rfam family "Bacterial large subunit ribosomal RNA". Lineage: Bacteria; Bacillati; Bacillota; Bacilli; Caryophanales; Staphylococcaceae. The record is from RNAcentral.